This 547-nucleotide ribosomal RNA is filed under the name Plataspis coccinelloides. RNAcentral's name for it is "partial 16S ribosomal RNA". It matches the Rfam family "Bacterial large subunit ribosomal RNA", at positions 1800 to 2622 of the family's 2925-position model. Lineage: Eukaryota; Metazoa; Arthropoda; Insecta; Hemiptera; Plataspidae. The record is from RNAcentral.
UUGUUUAUCAAAAACAUGUCCUGUAGUUUUAUAUUUCAGGUUUGCCCUGCUCAAUGAUGUUUAAAUUUAAUAGCCGCAGUAUUUUGACUGUGCAAAGGUAGCAUAAUCAUUUGUCUUUUAAUUGAAGGCUAGCAUGAAUGGGUUGAUGAGAAGUUGACUUUCUUUAUAGAAAGGAAUUUAACUUAAUUUUUGUGUUAAAAAGCACAGAUUUAAUUAUGGGACGAGAAGACCCUAUAGAAAUUUAUUCAUUUUUAUGAGUUUUAAUUUAAUAAUUUCUUUUAAUAAUGAGUUUUGUUGGGGCGACAGGGAGAUUAUUUAAACUCUUUUUAUUUAUAAUUUAUUAAUUAGUAUAUUUUAAUGAUCCUUUUAUAAGGAUAAGAAGAUUAAUUUACCUUAGGGAUAACAGCGUAAUUUUUUCGGAGAGUUCAUAUUGAUGAAAAAGUUUGCGACCUCGAUGUUGGAUUAAAAUAUGUAUUAAGUGCAGAAGCUUAAUUACUAGGUCUGUUCGACCUUUAAUAUUUUACAUGAUCUGAGUUCAAACCGGAGA